Molecule: ribosomal RNA, 484 nt
Filed under: uncultured bacterium
Lineage: Bacteria
Description: partial 16S ribosomal RNA
Rfam family: Bacterial small subunit ribosomal RNA
Source: RNAcentral
AUUGAACGCUGGCGGAAUGCUUUACACAUGCAUGUCGAACGGCAGCACGGGGGCAACCCUGGUGGCGCGUGGCGAACGGGCGCGUAAUACAUCGGAACGUGCCCGGUCGGGGGGGCUAACGUAGCGAAAGUUACGCUAAUACCGCAUACGAUCUGAGGAUGAAAUCGGGGGACCUUCGGGCCUCGCGCGGUCGGAGCGGCCGAUGUCAGAGUAGGUAGUUGGUGGGGUAAAGGCCUACCAAGCCGACGAUCUGUAGCUGGUCUGAGAGGACGACCAGCCACCCCGGGACUGAGACACGGCCCAGUCCCCUACGGUAGGCAGCGGAGGGGAAUUGUGGACAAUGGGCUCAAGCCUGAUCCAGCCAUGCCGCGUGCAGGACGAAGGCCUUCGGGUUGUAAACUGCUUUUGUAUGGAACGAAAAGGCUCUGGCUAAUACCUGGGGCUCAUGACGGUACCGUAAGAAUAAGCACCGGCUAACUACGUG